GCUAAACGCGAAGAACCUUACCUGGGCUUGACAUGCAUCUCUAAGCGCGUGAAAGCGCGUGACCCUUCGGGGGAUUUGCACAGGUGCUGCAUGGCCGUCGUCAGCUCGUGUCGUGAGAUGUUGGGUUAAGUCCCGCAACGAGCGCAACCCUUGUGAACAGUUGCCAGCGCGUGAAGGCGGGAACUCUGUUCAGACUGCCCAGAUCAACUGGGAGGAAGGUGGGGACGACGUCAGGUCAGUAUGGCCCUUACGCCCAGGGCUGCACACGUACUACAAUGCCCAGCACAAUGAGAGCCGAGACCGCGAGGUGGAGGAAAUCUAAAAAACUGGGCCCAGUUCGGAUUGGAGGCUGCAACUCGCCUCCAUGAAGCCGGAAUCGCUAGUAAUGGCACAUCAGCUACGGUGCCGUGAAUACGUUCCCGGGUCUUGUACACACCG
This 438-nucleotide ribosomal RNA is filed under the name uncultured bacterium. RNAcentral describes it as "bacterial SSU rRNA". It matches the Rfam family "Bacterial small subunit ribosomal RNA", at positions 954 to 1392 of the family's 1533-position model. The record is from RNAcentral.